GAUGAACGCUGGCGGCGUGCCUAAUACAUGCAAGUCGAGCGAACAGACGAGGAGCUUGCUCCUCUGACGUUAGCGGCGGACGGGUGAGUAACACGUGGAUAACCUACCUAUAAGACUGGGAUAACUUCGGGAAACCGGAGCUAAUACCGGAUAAUAUAUUGAACCGCAUGGUUCAAUAGUGAAAGACGGUUUUGCUGUCACUUAUAGAUGGAUCCGCGCCGCAUUAGCUAGUUGGUAAGGUAACGGCUUACCAAGGCAACGAUGCGUAGCCGACCUGAGAGGGUGAUCGGCCACACUGGAACUGAGACACGGUCCAGACUCCUACGUGAGGCAGCAGUAGGGAAUCUUCCGCAAUGGGCGAAAGCCUGAAGGAGCAACGCCGCGUGAGUGAUGAAGGUCUUCGGAUCGUAAAACUCUGUUAUUAGGGAAGAACAAAUGUGUAAGUAACUAUGCACGUCUUGACGGUACCUAAUCAGAAAGCCACGGCUAACUACGUG
Molecule: ribosomal RNA, 497 nt
Filed under: uncultured bacterium
Lineage: Bacteria
Description: partial 16S ribosomal RNA
Rfam family: Bacterial small subunit ribosomal RNA
Source: RNAcentral